CAGCUCAGAGUGCAAGCAACGCUCCCAUCAGCAGCAGCGCCGCCAUCGUCGCCGCGGCGGCCGGGACGACGGCGGCGGCGGCGCCGCCGCUCGGCGACGAGCCCGGCGGCGGCGAGGUCCCCGGCGCGGAGCUCUUGAUCGGGCACGCGUAGCCGCACUCCGCCGGGUCGACCACCCGGUAGACGCCCUUGCUGGUGAGCAGGUAGACGUCGCCGGCGUUGUCCUCGCCGAAGGAGAAGAUGUAGCCCAGCGACGGCAGCGUGCUCCUCGCCGCGGCGGCGUCGCAGGGGAUCGGCGACCUCCCGGAGCAGGCGAACGGCAGCGGCGUGACGUCGUACGCGCCGCUGCCCGGCGGCGACUCGAGGCCCGCCCAGGCGGACUGGGCGUAGAGGUCGGCGUAGAGCCCAUCACCGGCGGGAUGGCGUCGAUGUCGGCGGCGGAGGUGUUGCCGCCGGGGCUCGCCAGCGGCAGGUACGCCGUCGUGCCCUCCAGCACCCGCCACCCGUAGUUCCCGCCCUUUAUCACCAGGUCAACCUCCUCGUA
Molecule: small RNA, 543 nt
Filed under: Oryza sativa Japonica Group (Japanese rice)
Lineage: Eukaryota; Viridiplantae; Streptophyta; Magnoliopsida; Poales; Poaceae
Description: sRNA Os07g0193100
Source: RNAcentral